This 562-nucleotide ribosomal RNA is filed under the name uncultured bacterium. RNAcentral's name for it is "bacterial SSU rRNA". It matches the Rfam family "Bacterial small subunit ribosomal RNA", at positions 338 to 916 of the family's 1533-position model. The record is from RNAcentral.
CCUACGGGAGGCAGCAGUGGGGAAUAUUGGACAAUGGGGGCAACCCUGAUCCAGCAAUUCUGUGUGCACGAAGAAGGUUUUCGGAUUGUAAAGUGCUUUCAGCAGGGAAGAAGAAAGUGACGGUACCUGCAGAAGAAGCGACGGCUAAAUACGUGCCAGCAGCCGCGGUAAUACGUAUGUCGCAAGCGUUAUCCGGAAUUAUUGGGCAUAAAGGGCAUCUAGGCGGCCAGACAAGUCUGGGGUGAAAACUUGCGGCUCAACCGCAAGCCUGCCCUGGAAACUGUUUGGCUAGAGUGCUGGAGAGGUGGACGGAACUGCACGAGUAGAGGUGAAAUUCGUAGAUAUGUGCAGGAAUGCCGAUGAUGAAGAUAGUUCACUGGACGGCAACUGACGCUGAAGUGCGAAAGCUAGGGGAGCGAACAGGAUUAGAUACCCUGGUAGUCCUAGCUGUAAACGAUGAUUACUGGGUGUGGGCAUGAAGAGUGUCCGUGCCGAAGCUAAUGCGAUAAGUAAUCCGCCUGGGGAGUGCGGUCGCAAGGCUGAAACUCAAAGGAAUUGACGG